This is a non-coding RNA of Paramuricea clavata, 231 nucleotides long. The record is from the annotation of a GenBank genome assembly. NCBI's taxonomy places the organism in Eukaryota, Metazoa, Cnidaria, Anthozoa, Malacalcyonacea, Plexauridae.
GGACUAAUGAUUGCAUGCUUGUAGGAGGUGGGAUAUUUGCAUUGAACUAUGCUUGCAACCACAAUAUCGUGGACCACUGGUGCUAAUUCUUCUGCGUACCGUUUAAGACACCAUGCAGGGAUAUUAUCCGACCCAGUGGCUUUCCUAGGAUUUAGGUGUUUUAGGACGGUUUUGACUUGGCCAAUGGAUGGUAGAGGUGGGUGGCUGUCCUUGAGCAAAUGCUCUACCGCU